GUGAACUACAACACUUGACCCAGAGCAGACACUCAAAUAAAUGGUAUUUGCCAUUAUUUUUGUUAUCAUCCUGCUUUUACAAGUGGGGUUUGAAGAGCCAACGCUGAUACUCAGGUGGGAUCUAACCAUCACCAAACGGAGUGAGAUUGUCAUCCUCCAACACCAAUGGACACCUACCUGGGUAUAUCCAAUUCAGAAGCCAGAGAUCACAACAGUCCUAGUUCCACACAGUGAAUUUCUGGUUAGUGAAAACCAGAACAAAACCAAAACAAAAUGACAACCACAAAACUUCAUCUGAUUUAUAAAAUCAAGAAUUUGAUUUGUAUGAACUCCAGAAUUUCAAGGAUCAUACCUUUGCCAAAAGCUAGAUGUAGGUUGGAGCCAUAUGAAGAGUCCUGGCCAAUGAAUGGUGAGCAGAAGUGCUUUUUUCUGUGUCACUUUUGUGCUGACAUCUAAGAGCUGGUGUGCUUCCUCCAUUUUUUUUUUUUCCCCUAAGAGUUCCAGAUGGCAUAGCGCUAAGAUGGAGGAUGGUGAUAAGAGAGAGAAAUAAAUUCUCACUGGAUUAAGUCACUGAGAUCUGGGGUUUGCUAUUGUAGCAGCUAGCAUCAAUUGCCUUGAUUAAUAUAAUAGGUGAUACUCUUAAUGUUAGAAAGUUAUUGGACAAACUGGGGCCAUUAUCCAGACCAAGAAAUCACAG
Zalophus californianus (California sea lion) is the source of this 697-nucleotide long non-coding RNA. RefSeq lists it as uncharacterized. The transcript has 3 exons. The record is from RefSeq and is a predicted model, not a curated record. NCBI's taxonomy places the organism in Eukaryota, Metazoa, Chordata, Mammalia, Carnivora, Otariidae.